AGAGUUUGAUCCUGGCUCAGAUUGAACGCUGGCGGCAUGCCUUACACAUGCAAGUCGAACGGCAGCGCGGGGCAACCUGGCGGCGAGUGGCGAACGGGUGAGUAACAUAUCGGAACAUACCCUAGAGUGGGGGAUAACGUAGCGAAAGUUACGCUAAUACCGCAUACGAUCUAAGGAUGAAAGUGGGGGAUCUUCGGACCUCAUGCUCAUGGAGUGGCCGAUAUCUGAUUAGCUAGUUGGUGAGGUAAAGGCUCACCAAGGCAACGAUCAGUAGCUGGUUUGAGAGAACGACCAGCCACACUGGAACUGAGACACGGUCCAGACUCCUACGGGAGGCAGCAGUGGGGAAUUUUGGACAAUGGGGGCAACCCUGAUCCAGCAAUGCCGCGUGAGUGAAGAAGGCCUUCGGGUUGUAAAGCUCUUUUGUCAGGGAAGAAACGGUGGGAGCUAAUACCUUCUACUAAUGACGGUACCUGAAGAAUAAGCACCGGCUAACUACGUGCCAGCAGCCGCGGUAAU
This 519-nucleotide ribosomal RNA is filed under the name uncultured bacterium. RNAcentral describes it as "bacterial SSU rRNA". It matches the Rfam family "Bacterial small subunit ribosomal RNA", at positions 8 to 524 of the family's 1533-position model. The record is from RNAcentral.